ACGAACGCUGGCGGCGUGCUUAACCCAUGCACGUCGAACGGAAAGGCCCUGCUUUUGUGGGGUGCUCGAGUGGCGAACGGGUGAGUAACACGUGAGUAACCUGCCCUUGACUUUGGGAUAACUUCAGGAAACUGGGGCUAAUACCGGAUAGGAGCUCCUGCUGCAUGGUGGGGGUUGGAAAGUUUCGGCGGUUGGGGAUGGACUCGCGGCUUAUCAGCUUGUUGGUGGGGUAGUGGCUUACCAAGGCUUUGACGGGUAGCCGGCCUGAGAGGGUGACCGGCCACAUUGGGACUGAGAUACGGCCCAGACUCCUACGGGAGGCAGCAGUGGGGAAUAUUGCACAAUGGGCGGAAGCCUGAUGCAGCAACGCCGCGUGCGGGAUGACGGCCUUCGGGUUGUAAACCGCUUUCGCCUGUGACGAAGCGUGAGUGACGGUAAUGGGUAAAGAAGCACCGGCUAACUACGUG
This 467-nucleotide ribosomal RNA is filed under the name uncultured bacterium. RNAcentral describes it as "partial 16S ribosomal RNA". It matches the Rfam family "Bacterial small subunit ribosomal RNA", at positions 29 to 507 of the family's 1533-position model. The record is from RNAcentral.